RNAcentral lists this unclassified non-coding RNA (769 nucleotides) under Hevea brasiliensis (rubber tree). The record is from RNAcentral. Lineage: Eukaryota; Viridiplantae; Streptophyta; Magnoliopsida; Malpighiales; Euphorbiaceae.
GUAGAGGGAGAUUUUUUCUCUCAACUUUGUCUGAGUUUUCUCCCUUGGUCCGAGUCGAAGUCUGCCUCUUGUAGGUUUCCCCUGCCCCUUCCGAGCAGGGGAAACUCUUCCCUAGCCCAGGAGAGUGUAUUUCUUCCCUCUCCGUCCCUAGCUGAGGUGUAAAUAUUUCUUUUGAGAUUUGGGUCUCACAAAUCUAGAGCUGCUGAGUGAGGGAGGCUUUUUUGUUGUAUCUGUUUGAGGCUAGUUUGUGCUUAUGUGUAGAAUGGAUUAUGGGGACCGAGGGUGAAGAAGGGUAACUCAAGGAACUUAACGCCGGCCUUUGGUUGCCGACUUCUCCUAAGGCUAUACAAGAUUGAAAAGCCAGAGCUCUGUCUUCUUCUCUCCCCGAGUUCACUUGCGUAGAUUCCUGCUCUUCGUAAACACCAGGGCGUACCAAUUAUUAGCUUGUAAGGGUGACUUCUUUUGAGCCACGCAUGGCUUGUGGAGUUACCUAUCUUCUUAUUGGUGGUUGCCGAUGGCUCUCGGCCUGGGUCACGGAUGAUGAGAACAGCGUUCUUGCUAGGUGUCGACGACACUGCAUUUCGCCUUCUGGUUCUAGCUCUAGGGGUCUGCAUUGUAAUUGGGCCUAGCUUCUUUGGAGCUUUAGCUAAUUUGCUUGAGCUAGACGUUUGAGGCUUUUGGGCCAUGAGCUUGUAAUUUGUAAUUCUGGGAUCUUUCUUUGGUGGCCAUGCGUCUUGUACCAGUUCUCAAUCUUAAUAUGAUUCUAGCU